Molecule: unclassified non-coding RNA, 348 nt
Filed under: soil metagenome
Description: partial contains 5.8S ribosomal RNA, internal transcribed spacer 2, and large subunit ribosomal RNA
Rfam family: 5.8S ribosomal RNA (bases 1-120)
Source: RNAcentral
GAUGAAGAACGUAGCGAAAUGCGAUAAGUAAUGUGAAUUGCAGAAUUCAGUGAAUCAUAGAAUCUUUGAACGCACAUUGCGCCCGCCAGUAUUCUGGCGGGCAUGCCUGUCUGAGCGUCAUUUCAACCCUCAUGCCCCUAGGGCGUGGUGUUGGGGAUCGGCCAAAGCCCGCGAGGGACGGCCGGCCCCUAAAUCUAGUGGCGGACCCGUCGUGGCCUCCUCUGCGAAGUAGUGAUAUUCCGCAUCGGAGAGCGAUGAGCCCCUGCCGUUAAACCCCCAACUUUCCAAGGUUGACCUCAGAUCAGGUAGGAAUACCCGCUGAACUUAAGCAUAUCAAUAAGCGGAGGA